This 408-nucleotide ribosomal RNA is filed under the name uncultured Methylomirabilota bacterium. Its description in RNAcentral is "bacterial SSU rRNA". It matches the Rfam family "Bacterial small subunit ribosomal RNA", at positions 1027 to 1434 of the family's 1533-position model. Lineage: Bacteria; Methylomirabilota (SeqCode). The record is from RNAcentral.
CGUGGAGACAGGUGGUGCAUGGCUGUCGUCAGCUCGUGUCGUGAGAUGUUGGGUUAAGUCCCGCAACGAGCGCAACCCUCACCUCUUGUUGCCAUCAGGUCAUGCUGGGCACUCUAGAGGAACUGCCCCGGUCAACGGGGAGGAAGGCGGGGAUGACGUCCAGUCAUCAUGCCCCUUACGUCCUGGGCUACACACGUGCUACAAUGGCCGGUACAAUGGGAUGCGACGCCGCGAGGUAGAGCUAAACCCAAAAAGCCGGUCUAAGUUCAGAUUGGAGUCUGCAACUCGACUCCAUGAAGGAGGAAUCGCUAGUAAUCGCGUAUCAGCACGACGCGGUGAAUACGUUCCCGGGCCUUGUACACACCGCCCGUCACACCACGAAAGCCAGCUGUACUCGAAGUCGCUGAG